AACGAACGCUGGCGGCAUGCCUAACACAUGCAAGUCGAACGAGACCUUCGGGUCUAGUGGCGCACGGGUGCGUAACGCGUGGGAACCUGCCCUUAGGUUCGGAAUCACUCCCCGAAAGGGGUGCUAAUACCGGAUAAUGUCUUCGGACCAAAGAUUUAUCGCCUUUGGAUGGGCCCGCGUUGGAUUAGCUAGUUGGUAGGGUAAAAGCCUACCAAGGCGACGAUCCAUAGCUGGUCUGAGAGGAUGAUCAGCCACACUGGGACUGAGACACGGCCCAGACUCCUACGGGAGGGAGCAGUGGGGAAUAUUGGACAAGGGGCGAAGGCCUGAUCCAGCAGUGCCGCGUGAGUGAGGAAGGCCUUAGGGUUGUAAAGCUCUUUUACCCGGGAUGAUAAUGACAGUACCGGGAGAAUAAGCACCGGCUAACUCCGUG
Molecule: ribosomal RNA, 433 nt
Filed under: uncultured bacterium
Lineage: Bacteria
Description: partial 16S ribosomal RNA
Rfam family: Bacterial small subunit ribosomal RNA
Source: RNAcentral